CUGGGCACCCAGAUGUCUCCAGGAAGGACGCAGGGCCCACCCAGGCCUGUGACGCACGAGGCAGCUCCGGGGACGCUGCGGACGCUGCCGCGCAGAGAGGCCGAGCGCACGAGCCACGAUGUCCGGCCCGUGCCUGGCCGUGGCCGUCAGCGCUCACCCCUGCGGGGUCUGCGCCCGCCCCCUCAGCCAGGGCUGUGCGCGGUGCCCUGUAUGCUUCACGCCCACUCCAGUGACUUGCAGAUCAAAAUCCUACAUCAGCACUGGAUGUGCCCUGGGUAUGUGGAGACACUGAGGACAGAGCCCCAGAUCACCUUGUUCGCCAGCGCUGCUAUGGGAAUCCCGGGUGACCUGCUCCUCCCAGAGCUGUCACCAAGGGCUCUCUGAGGAGGCAGCGAAUGCAGCCGAGAGAAGAAACAGUGAAGGAGCAUUCUGGAAAAGGGAGACUGGGAGGACAUCGCAGACCCGAACCUCAGCAACCAGUAGGACACAGGAGCCGGAGCUAACACCCAGGCUGCUGCGGAAGCCCUGGGACUACUCAGCAGGAGAAGCACCGUUGUUCUCGCUGUGACCCUGGGACCUUCGCGCAGAGGCCAGAGGGAAGGAAGGCCCGUCGAGGAAGGUCGGGGGGGGGUGACGAGGCAUGGGCAUUUGGGGAAGUAAGAAGUCCCCCAAAAGCGUGAAACUCCGCAGGAUCCUGGGCGGAGAGAGAGGUGGCCGCUAAGUGGGCCAAGGUGAGGUCGCAGCACGGGUCCCGGCAGUGUCUCUGCAGCGGGGAGCAGGCAGCCCAGGCGGGACAGACCGGGCUGGGCCGACAGUCACAGAGCAGACGUGAGAGGUGACAGGGUCCACCCUGCACUUCCGGCCUCCGAAGGACCUCAGGGCCCUGGUCCCCGGCGCGUCCUCACGGAGGGGCCUGGCUCUCAGGGCGCUUGUCCCCACCAAGUCAGUGGAAAUAUCAAACAGGAAGUAAAUCUCUGCCUGUUUUUCAAAAGCAAAACUUUGUGGAGUGGUCUUUGAUCUGCAAAUGUAAUUAGCAUUAGAAUUAGAGAUGUAGCGGAUAUUUGUCUAAAAGCAUUAAUUUAAAUCCUGGCCCAGUUUUUUCCCUUAUCAGCUCUCCGUGGCAGCGGCGCCCGUGGCGGGAUCGGAAAUCGGAGGGGAACCGCGGGUCUGCGCUGGAGGCAGCUGGGCGGCGCGUGCCGCGGUGGCCGGCUCGCUUGGCGCAUCAUGCCCAUGCGGAGAUGCGACGGCGCGGGGCUGGAGCCGCAGCUCUCCGCUCUCGUCUUCUCGCUCACAUCCAGCCGGGCUUCCUCCGGCCACCGGGCUCCCUUCCCUCGGGCUUCAGGACUUGCUGUGACACGUCGUGCGGUGUGGACAGGAGAUGACUUCACAGCCAAAGCGGGAAAGUGAAAUAUGUGUUAAGCUCUCCCUCCUUCUCUGUCUCUCUGUCUUUCCCUUACUGGGAAUUAAACCUGGCGAGCCC
Long non-coding RNA from Chinchilla lanigera (long-tailed chinchilla), 1480 nucleotides. RefSeq lists it as uncharacterized. The transcript is spliced from 3 exons. The record is from RefSeq and is a predicted model, not a curated record. Lineage: Eukaryota; Metazoa; Chordata; Mammalia; Rodentia; Chinchillidae.